Molecule: ribosomal RNA, 354 nt
Filed under: uncultured bacterium
Lineage: Bacteria
Description: bacterial SSU rRNA
Rfam family: Bacterial small subunit ribosomal RNA
Source: RNAcentral
CUAUGCGCCUUGCCAGCCCGCUCAGUCAGAGUUUGAUCCUGGCUCAGGACGAACGCUGGCGGCACGCUUAACACAUGCAAGUCGAACGGAGAAUUUUGAUUUAUUGAAAUUCUUAGUGGCGGACGGGUGAGUAACACGUGAGCAACCUGCCUCUGAGAGAGGAAUAAUUUCUGGAAACGGAUUGUAAUACCUCAUAAUAUACAUUUGUCGCAUGACAGGUGUAUCAAAGAUUAAUCACUCAGAGAUGGGCUCGCGUCUGAUUAGAUAGUUGGUGAGGUAACGGCUCACCAAGUCAACGAUCAGUAGCCGGACUGAGAGGUUGAACGGCCACAUUGGGACUGAGACACGGCCCAG